AUUGAACGCUGGCGGCAGGCCUAACACAUGCAAGUCGAGCGAGCGGCGGACGGGUGAGUAAUGUCUGGGAAACUGCCUGAUGGAGGGGGAUAACUACUGGAAACGGUAGCUAAUACCGCAUACCAUCAGAUGUGCCCAGAUGGGAUUAGCUGGUAGGUGGGGUAACGGCUCACCUAGGCGACGAUCCCUAGCUGGUCUGAGAGGUUGACCAGCCACUCUGGAACUGAGACACGGUCCAGGCUCCUACGGGAGUCACCAGUGGGGAAUAUUGCACAAUGGGCGCAAGCCUGAUGCAGCCAUGCCGCGUGUGUGAAGAAUGCCGUCGGGUUGUAAAGCACGUUCAGCGGGGAGGCGGUACCUGCAGAAGAAGCACCGGCUAACGCCGUGCCAGCAGCCGCGGUAAUAC
RNAcentral lists this ribosomal RNA (406 nucleotides) under uncultured bacterium. Its description in RNAcentral is "partial 16S ribosomal RNA". It matches the Rfam family "Bacterial small subunit ribosomal RNA", at positions 30 to 526 of the family's 1533-position model. The record is from RNAcentral.